AGAGUUUGAUCCUGGCUCAGAACGAACGCUGGCGGCACGCUUAACACAUGCAAGUCGAACGGAGGUACUUGUACCUCAGUGGCAAACGGGUGAGUAACACGUGGGAAUCUACCUUUCGGUGGGGGAUAACUGGGGGAAACUUCAGCUAAUACCGCAUGCGCUCAGAAAUGAGGAAAGAUUUAUCGCCGAGAGAGGGGCCCGCGUCAGAUUAGGUUGUUGGUGGGGUAAUGGCCUACCAAGCCUGCGAUCUGUAGCUGGUCUGAGAGGAUGAUCAGCCACACUGGGAUUGAGACACGGUCCAGACUCCUACGGGAGGCAGCAGUGGGGAAUAUUGCACAAUGGGGGAAACCCUGAUGCAGCGACGCCGCGUGAGCGAAGAAGGUUUUCGGAUCGUAAAGCUCUGUCCUUGGGGAAGAAAAUGACGGUACCCAAGGAGGAAGCCCCGGCUAACUACGUGCCAGCAGCCGCGGUAAUACGUAGGGGGCGAGCGUUGUCCGGAAUUACUGGGCGUAAAGGGUACGUAGGCGGUUAAUUAAGUCAGGUGUAAAAGGCAUAGGCUCAACCUGUGUAAGCAUCUGAAACUGGAUAACUUGAGUAUAGGAGAGGUAAGUGGAAUUCCUAGUGUAGCGGUGAAAUGCGUAGAUAUUAGGAGGAACACCAGUGGCGAAGGCGACUUACUGGACUAUUACUGA
RNAcentral lists this ribosomal RNA (692 nucleotides) under uncultured bacterium. RNAcentral's name for it is "bacterial SSU rRNA". It matches the Rfam family "Bacterial small subunit ribosomal RNA", at positions 8 to 743 of the family's 1533-position model. The record is from RNAcentral.